Molecule: ribosomal RNA, 725 nt
Filed under: uncultured bacterium
Lineage: Bacteria
Description: bacterial SSU rRNA
Rfam family: Bacterial small subunit ribosomal RNA
Source: RNAcentral
GGGUUAGUGGCGGACGGGUGAGUAACGCGUGAUUUUUGCCGCUCAGGAGGUGCGGAUAACAGUUGGAAACGACUGCUAAUACCCCAUAUGCCGAGAGGUGAAACGAAUUUUGCCUGGGUGAUGAGCUCGCGUCGUGAUUAGCUUGUUGGUGGGGUAAAAGCCUACCAAGGCUUCGAUCAGUAGCUGGUCUGAGAGGACGAUCAGCCACACUGGGACUGAGAUACGGCCCAGACUCCUACGGGAGGCAGCAGUGGGGAAUUUUCCGCAAUGGGCGCAAGCCUGACGGAGCAACGCCGCGUGAGGGAUGAAGGCCUUUGGGCUGUAAACCUCUUUUCUCAAGGAAGAAGAUCUGACGGUACUUGAGGAAUAAGCCACGGCUAAUUCCGUGCCAGCAGCCGCGGUAAUACGGGAGUGGCAAGCGUUAUCCGGAAUUAUUGGGCGUAAAGCGUCCGCAGGCGGCCGUUUAAGUCUGUUGUUAAAUCGUGGAGCUCAACUCCAUCACGGCAAUGGAAACUGUUCGGCUUGAGUAUGGUAGGGGCAGAGGGAAUUUCCGGUGUAGCGGUGAAAUGCGUAGAUAUCGGGAAGAACACCAGUGGCAAAGCGCUCUGCUGGCCAUUACUGACGCUCAUGGACGAAAGCCAGGGGAGCGAAAGGGAUUAGAUACCCCUGUAGUCCUGGCCGUAAACGAUGAACACUAGAUGUUGGGGGAAUCGACCCCUCCGGUG